UACGGAGGGAGCUAGCGUUGUUCGGAAUUACUGGGCGUAAAGCGCACGUAGGCGGCUUUGUAAGUUAGAGGUGAAAGCCUGGGGCUCAACUCCAGAAUUGCCUUUAAGACUGCAUCGCUUGAAUCAUGGAGAGGCGGGUGGAAUUCCGAGUGUAGAGGUGAAAUUCGUAGAUAUUUCGGAAGAACACCAGUGGCGAAGGCGGCCCGCUGGACAUGUAUUGACGCUGAGGUGCGAAAGCGUGGGGAGCAAACAGG
RNAcentral lists this ribosomal RNA (254 nucleotides) under uncultured bacterium. RNAcentral's name for it is "partial 16S ribosomal RNA". It matches the Rfam family "Bacterial small subunit ribosomal RNA", at positions 524 to 776 of the family's 1533-position model. The record is from RNAcentral.